RNAcentral lists this non-coding RNA (27 nucleotides) under Rattus norvegicus (Norway rat). Lineage: Eukaryota; Metazoa; Chordata; Mammalia; Rodentia; Muridae. The record is from RNAcentral.
UACAAAGGCAUUUGGGACUGGGCUUGC